This 348-nucleotide unclassified non-coding RNA is filed under the name soil metagenome. RNAcentral's name for it is "partial contains 5.8S ribosomal RNA, internal transcribed spacer 2, and large subunit ribosomal RNA". The stretch from base 1 to 120 matches the Rfam family "5.8S ribosomal RNA", at positions 35 to 154 of the family's 154-position model. The record is from RNAcentral.
GAUGAAGAACGUAGCGAAAUGCGAUAAGUAAUGUGAAUUGCAGAAUUCAGUGAAUCAUCGAAUCUUUGAACGCACAUUGCGCCCGCCAGUAUUCUGGCGGGCAUGCCUGUCUGAGCGUCAUUUCAACCCUCAUGCCCCUAGGGCGUGGUGUUGGGGAUCGGCCAAAGCCCGCGAGGGACGGCCGGCCCCUAAAUCUAGUGGCGGACCCGUCGUGGCCUCCUCUGCGAAGUAGUGAUAUUCCGCAUCGGAGAGCGACGAGCCCCUGCCGUUAAACCCCCAACUUUCCAAGGUUGACCUCAGAUCAGGUAGGGAUACCCGCUGAACUUAAGCAUAUCAAUAAGCGGAGGA